CUGUGACUCCUACGGGAGGCAGCAGUGGGGAAUAUUGCACAAUGGGCGCAAGCCUGAUGCAGCAACGCCGUGUGAGUGAAGAAGGUUUUCGGAUCGUAAAACUCUGUCCUAAGGGAAGAAACAAAUGACGGUACCUUAGGAGGAAGCCCCGGCUAACUACGUGCCAGCAGCCGCGGUAAUACGUAGGGGGCAAGCGUUAUCCGGAAUCACUGGGCGUAAAGGGUGCGUAGGCGGCUUAGCAAGCCAGGGGUGAAAGGCAUUGGCUCAACCAAUGUAAGCCUUUGGAACUGUUAAGCUUGAGUACAGGAGAGGUAAGUGGAAUUCCUAGUGUAGAGGUGAAAUUCGUAGAUAUUAGGAGGAACACCAGUGGCGAAGGCGACUUACUGGACUGUAACUGACGCUGAUGCACGAAAGCGUGGGUAGCGAACAGGAUUAGAUACCCUGGUAG
Molecule: ribosomal RNA, 448 nt
Filed under: uncultured bacterium
Lineage: Bacteria
Description: bacterial SSU rRNA
Rfam family: Bacterial small subunit ribosomal RNA
Source: RNAcentral